AACGAACGUUGGCGGCGUGGAUUAGGCAUGCAAGUCGUACGCGAAAGAGGGAGCAAUCCCUUGAGUAAAGUGGCGAACGGGUGAGUAACGCGUAGGAAACCUGCCUUCGAGAUGGGGAUAACAUUCCUAACGGGGUGGCUAAUACCGAAUGACACUGCGAAAUCGCAUGGUUUUGGCAGUCAAAGGUGGCCUCUGCUUGCAAGCUACCACUCGAAGAUGGUCCUGCGUCCCANAGCUAGUUGGCGGGGUAAUGGCCCACCAAGGCGACGAUGGGUAGCCGAUCUGAGAGGAUGA
This 294-nucleotide ribosomal RNA is filed under the name uncultured bacterium. RNAcentral's name for it is "partial 16S ribosomal RNA". It matches the Rfam family "Bacterial small subunit ribosomal RNA", at positions 29 to 303 of the family's 1533-position model. The record is from RNAcentral.